CCACACCGACCGGAACUGCAUGGGCUCGAUCCCGUCCAGUCUCAGAAACGAAGCAGUUCUGGGCCUGGCUAGGACUUGGAUGGGAGACCAUGGCUGUUUUUUACACAGACCGGGGUGUGGG
Molecule: ribosomal RNA, 121 nt
Filed under: Sphenodon punctatus (tuatara)
Lineage: Eukaryota; Metazoa; Chordata; Lepidosauria; Sphenodontia; Sphenodontidae
Source: RNAcentral